UACGUAGGGUGCAAGCGUUAUUCGGAAUUACUGGGCUUAAAGGGUGCGUAGGCGGUGAAGUAAGUCGGAUGUGAAAUACCUUAGCUUAACUAGGGAACUGCACUCGAUACUACUUUGCUAGAGUAAGACAGAGGUGAGUGGAACUGAGGGUGGAGCGGUGAAAUGCGUUGAUAUCCUCAGGAACACCGGUGGCGAAGGCGACUCACUGGGUCUUUACUGACGCUGAUGCACGAAAGCUAGGGUAGCAAACGGG
Molecule: ribosomal RNA, 253 nt
Filed under: uncultured bacterium
Lineage: Bacteria
Description: partial 16S ribosomal RNA
Rfam family: Bacterial small subunit ribosomal RNA
Source: RNAcentral